Molecule: unclassified non-coding RNA, 273 nt
Filed under: Hevea brasiliensis (rubber tree)
Lineage: Eukaryota; Viridiplantae; Streptophyta; Magnoliopsida; Malpighiales; Euphorbiaceae
Source: RNAcentral
AAAACCAACAUGCAUAAAUCGCUGUCAAAAGGCACAAGAAAUGCUUCAUGAAAAUCCCAGAUAUACUUUUCCCUGUUUGUCGAGCCAUAAUAAAUUAUAAAAAUAAGAUGAAUACGGUCCCAUAACCAUUUAAUAUAAAAAAAGCAUACUCAUGUGCACCAUCUGCAUAAGGUGCUUCAUUAGCAUCACAAAUUGAAAUUAGAUUAUUUACAAGGUGAUGCAAAUACUAACCACUGCUUAUUUUGAAGGGGUUCCUACUAUCUGAAGGAAAUA